This 224-nucleotide ribosomal RNA is filed under the name uncultured bacterium. Its description in RNAcentral is "partial 16S ribosomal RNA". It matches the Rfam family "Bacterial small subunit ribosomal RNA", at positions 15 to 226 of the family's 1533-position model. The record is from RNAcentral.
GAUCAUGGCUCAGGAUGAACGCUAGCUACAGGCUUAACACAUGCAAGUCGAGGGGCAGCAUGGUCUUAGCUUGCUAAGGCCGAUGGCGACCGGCGCACGGGUGAGUAACACGUAUCCAACCUGCCGUCUACUCUUGGACAGCCUUCUGAAAAUGAAAGAUUAAUACAAGAUGGCAUCAUGAGUCCGCAUGUUCACAUGAUUAAACGGUAUUCCGGGUAGACGAG